UACGAAGGGGGCUAGCGUUGCUCGGAAUCACUGGGCGUAAAGCGCACGUAGGCGGGUUGUUAAGUCAGGGGUGAAAUCCCAAGGCUCAACCUUGGAACUGCCUUUGAUACUGGGGAUCUCGAGUCCGGAAGAGGUUGGUGGAACUGCGAGUGUAGAGGUGAAGUUCGUAGAUAUUCGCAAGAACACCAGUGGCGAAGGCGGCCAACUGGUCCGGCACUGACGCUGAGGUGCGAAAGCGUGGGGAGCAAACAGG
RNAcentral lists this ribosomal RNA (253 nucleotides) under uncultured bacterium. RNAcentral describes it as "partial 16S ribosomal RNA". It matches the Rfam family "Bacterial small subunit ribosomal RNA", at positions 524 to 776 of the family's 1533-position model. The record is from RNAcentral.